GUCCCAGUAGCUUAAUAAAGCAUCGACUUUGUAAGCCGAAGAAUGGAAGUUCAACCCUUCCCUGCGACA
RNAcentral lists this transfer RNA (69 nucleotides) under Oreolalax multipunctatus (dotted lazy toad). Its description in RNAcentral is "tRNA-Thr". It matches the Rfam family "tRNA". From Rfam's summary of the family: Transfer RNA (tRNA) molecules are approximately 80 nucleotides in length. Their secondary structure includes four short double-helical elements and three loops (D, anti-codon, and T loops). The record is from RNAcentral. Lineage: Eukaryota; Metazoa; Chordata; Amphibia; Anura; Megophryidae.